Cricetulus griseus (Chinese hamster) is the source of this 296-nucleotide non-coding RNA. Lineage: Eukaryota; Metazoa; Chordata; Mammalia; Rodentia; Cricetidae. The record is from Rfam.
GCCGGGCGAGGUGGCGCACGCCUGUAGUCCCAGCUACUCAGGAGGCUGAGACGGGAGGAUUGCUUGAGUCCAGAAGUUCUGGACUCAGUAGCUGGGUGUCCACACUAAGUUUGGUAUAAACAUGGUGACCUCCCGGGAACAGGGGACCACCAGGUUGCCUAAGAAGGGGUGAACCGGCCCAGGUCAGAAAUGGAGCAGGUCAAAACUCCCAUGCUGAUCAGUAGAUAUAACAUGGCUUUCCCCCCAAGAAUUCACUAUGAAUAAGACCUGGUCGGGAAGGUAGUGGUCAAACUUUU